UAAAGAAAGCGUAAUAGCUCACUGGUCGAGUCGGCCUGCGCGGAAGAUGUAACGGGGCUAAACCAUGCACCGAAGCUGCGGCAGCGACACUGUGUGUUGUUGGGUAGGGGAGCGUUCUGUAAGCCUGUGAAGGUGGCCUGUGAGGGUUGCUGGAGGUAUCAGAAGUGCGAAUGCUGACAUAAGUAACGAUAAAGCGGGUGAAAAGCCCGCUCGCCGGAAGAC
RNAcentral lists this ribosomal RNA (222 nucleotides) under Salmonella enterica subsp. enterica serovar Mbandaka. Its description in RNAcentral is "partial 23S ribosomal RNA". It matches the Rfam family "Bacterial large subunit ribosomal RNA", at positions 1124 to 1345 of the family's 2925-position model. Lineage: Bacteria; Pseudomonadati; Pseudomonadota; Gammaproteobacteria; Enterobacterales; Enterobacteriaceae. The record is from RNAcentral. RNAcentral also lists the same sequence under 1 other name.